Molecule: ribosomal RNA, 1796 nt
Filed under: Sporolithon durum
Lineage: Eukaryota; Rhodophyta; Florideophyceae; Sporolithales; Sporolithaceae
Description: SSU rRNA
Rfam family: Eukaryotic small subunit ribosomal RNA
Source: RNAcentral
ACCUGGUUGAUCCUGCCAGUGGUAUAUGCUUGUCUCAAGGACUAAGCCAUGCAAGUCUAAGUAUAAGUGAUUCUGAUGACGAAACUGCGAAUGGCUCGGUAAAACAGCUAUAAUUUCUUCGAUGGUAAAAUACUACUCGGAUAACCGUAGUAAUUCUAGAGCUAAUACGUGCCAUAAAUGCGGGGGCAACUCCGUGGUGCCAAUUAGAUAACAACACCAACAUAUGGUGAUUCAUAAUUUUCUUUCUGAUCGCUAUGCCUUUGUGCAGCGACGCAUCGUUCAAAUUUCUGACCUAUCAACUUUCGAUGGUAAGGUAGUGUCUUACCAUGGUGGUGACGGGUAACGGACCGUGGGUGCGGGACUCCGGAGAGGGAGCCUGAGAAACGGCUACCACAUCCAAGGAAGGCAGCAGGCGCGCAAAUUACCCAAUCCGGACAUCGGGAGGUAGUGACAAGAAAUAUCAAUAGGGGACCCGAUGGGUCUUCUAAUUGGAAUGAGAACAUGGUAAACAGCUUAUCGAGGAUCCAGCAGAGGGCAAGUCUGGUGCCAGCAGCCGCGGUAAUUCCAGCUCUGUAAGCGUAUACCAAAGUUGUUGCAGUUAAAACGCUCGUAGUCGGAUUUUGGUGGUUCCGCGGGGACGCGCGUUGAGCGUGGGUCCUGUCGGGGCUGCUUUCGUGGAGGACGUGCACAGGCGGCUUUGCUGUCGGCUGUGUUUUUGCGUCACCACCAUUUACUGUGAAAAAAUUAGAGUGUUCAAAGCAGGCGUUUGCCAUGAAUACAUUAGCAUGGAAUAAUAGAAUAGGACUUGGAUUCUAUUUUGUUGGUUUGUGAGGGCCAAGUAAUGAUUAAGAGGGACAGUUGGGGGCAUUUGUAUUCCUGCGCUAGAGGUGAAAUUCUUAGAUUGCAGGAAGACAAACCGCUGCGAAAGCGUCUGCCAAGGAUGUUUUCAUUGAUCAAGAACGAAAGUAAGGGGAUCGAAGACGAUCAGAUACCGUCGUAGUCUUUACUAUAAACGAUGAGGACUGGGGAUCAGGCGUGGAAUUACGAUGACCCGCCUGGCACCCUCCGGGAAACCAAAGUGUUUGCUUUCUGGGGGGAGUAUGGUCGCAAGGCUGAAACUUAAAGGAAUUGACGGAAGGGCAUCACCGGGUGUGGAGCCUGCGGCUUAAUUUGACUCAACACGGGGAAACUUACCAGGUCAGGACAUAGUGAGGAUUGACAGAUUGAGAGCUCUUUCUUGAUUCUAUGGUUGGUGGUGCAUGGCCGUUCUUAGUUGGUGGAGUGAUUUGUCUGGUUAAUUCCGUUAACGAGCGAGACCUGGGCGUGCUAACUAGGGGCUAUUACCAUGUUUUUGGGUAGUGAGUUUUUGUGACCCCUUCUUAGACGGACUGCAGGCGUCUAGUCUGCGGAAGCUCCAGGCAAUAACAGGUCUGAGAUGCCCUUAGAUGUUCUGGGCCGCACGCGUGCUACACUGAGCGGGUCAGCGGGUGUGGAUGCGCGAAAGCGUUUCCUAAUCCCCAAAUCCGCUCGUGAUGGGGAUAGACGGUUGCAAUUUUCCGUCUUGAACGAGGAAUACCUUGUAAGCGUGGGUCAUCAUCCCACGCUGAAUACGUCCCUGCCCUUUGUACACACCGCCCGUCGCUCCUACCGAUUGAGUGGUCCGGUGAGGUCUUGGGAUUGAUAUGAGGGGAGCGUUUACGCUCGUUUUGUGUCGAGAACUUGCCCGAACCUUAUCACUUAGAGGAAGGAGAAGUCGUAACAAGGUUUCCGUAGGUGAACCUGCGGAAGGAUCAUUC